CCUACGGGCGGCAGCAGUGGGGGAUAUUGCACAAUGGGGGAAACCCUGAUGCAGCGACGCCGCGUGUGGGAAGACGGUCCUCUGGAUUGUAAACCACUGUCCCCAGGGACGAAGAUGACGGUACCUUGGGAGGAAGCUCCGGCAAACUACGUGCCAGCAGCCGCGGUAAUACGUAGGGAGCGAGCGUUGUCCGGAAUUACUGGGUGUAAAGGGAGCGUAGGCGGGACUGCAAGUUGGGUGUCAAAUCUACCGGCUCAACCGGUAGCCGCACUCAAAACUGCAGUUCUUGAGUGAAGUAGAGGCAGGCGGAAUUCCUAGUGUAGCGGUGAAAUGCGUAGAUAUUGGGAGGAACACCAGUGGCGAAGGCGGCCUGCUGGGCUUUUACUGACGCUGAGGCUCGAAAGUGUGGGGAGCAAACAGGAUUAGAUACCCUUGUAGUC
This 440-nucleotide ribosomal RNA is filed under the name uncultured bacterium. RNAcentral's name for it is "partial 16S ribosomal RNA". It matches the Rfam family "Bacterial small subunit ribosomal RNA", at positions 338 to 795 of the family's 1533-position model. The record is from RNAcentral.